GCUUAUAGCCACACUGCCUGGUUCACGGCUGAUCUCGUUUGAUCUCGGAAGCUAAGAUAGGUUAGGCCUGGUUAGUACUUGGAUGGGAGACCGCCUGGGAAUACCAGGUGCUGUAAGCU
RNAcentral lists this ribosomal RNA (119 nucleotides) under Scophthalmus maximus (turbot). Lineage: Eukaryota; Metazoa; Chordata; Actinopteri; Pleuronectiformes; Scophthalmidae. The record is from RNAcentral.